Callithrix jacchus (white-tufted-ear marmoset) is the source of this 32894-nucleotide non-coding RNA. The record is from RefSeq and is a predicted model, not a curated record. NCBI's taxonomy places the organism in Eukaryota, Metazoa, Chordata, Mammalia, Primates, Cebidae.
AGAUUGUGCCAUUGCACUGCACCCUGGGUGGGAGAGUGAGAAUGUCUCAAAAACAAACAGCCAGCCAUGAAAGAAAAAGCUCAGUGAAGGCGGGCAUUCCACCUGAUUAACGCAGGUCACGACGCCUUGCCGUGCCUGGAACAUUGUAAGUGCUCAGCCAACUAGUUUAAGGUAGGAAUAAAAUCUUCAAGGUUGCUUUAGUUUAAAUUGGGUAACCUUCUGUGUUCCACGUCUUUGCAAUAAUUUGUAUCCUUAAUUAUUAUACUAGUCACUGUUAAAUUUUGAACUCCAGUCUUCUAUGCAUCUUUAUUUUCCACCUCUAUGCUUUUCUUAAAUCUUCCAGCUCAUAUUGACCACUCCAUUUAAAACUGUCAUCCUUAAAAUCAGAACAUAGCUUAGCAUUUACUCAUUCUUUUUUACUUUCUUCAUGUGUUUGUUCUAUUUAAGAAUAAAAUCAUUGAAGGAAAGACCUUAAUUUUUUAAUAUAAUCAUUGAGGAAAUAUCUGGUUUUUUUUGUACCCUUCACGGUGUUGAAAGCAGGGGCCUAGGAGACUUUAAACUGAUACCACAGAAAUACAAAGGAUCAUUAGAGGCUAUUAUGAACAACUACAUGCAAACACACUGGCAACUAAAUGGAAAUGACUAAAUUCCUGAACAGAUACAACUUACCAAAAUUGAACCAAGAAGAAACAGAAAACCUGAAAAGUCCAACUGAGUAAUGAGAUUGAAUCAGUAAUAUAAAGUCUUCCAUCAAAGAAAAGCCCAGGCCCUGACAGCUUCACUGCUGAUUUCUACCAAACAUUUAAAGAAGAACUAAUAUCAGUUCUCAAACUCGUCCUGUGAGGCCAGCAUUACCCUGAUACCCAAACUGGAUAUGGACACAAGAAAAAAAAUCUAUAGGCCAGUAUCCCUGAUGAACAUAGAUGCAAGAAUCCUCGACAAGGCCAGGCACGGUGGCUCAUGCCUGUAAUCCCAGCACUUUGGUAGGCCAAGGCAAGCAGAUCACCUGACGUCAGGAGUUUGAGACCAGCCUGGCCAACAUGGCAAAACCCCAUCUGUACUCAAAGUACAAAAUUAGCCAGGAAAGGUGGCGGGUGCCUGUAAUCCCAGCUACUCAGGAGGCUGAGGCAGAAUUGUUUGAACCUGGCAGGAUGGAAGUGGCAGUGAGCACAGAUGUCCGACUGCACUCCAGCCUGGGUGACAGAGACUCCAUCUCAAAAAAAAAAGGGGGGAGACUCAACUAGCAUAAAUGAAUUGCAAGUGUUUUAUCAUAAAUAAUAAGCACAACAAAAGUGUCAAUAUAUUAUAUGUAAACAUGUUUAAAGCUGGAUCUUUAGCUUCCAAGGAUUAAGGGAUUAUUAUUGAAUUCAUUCUUUUUUUGUUGUUGUUGGUAGAGAGAUCCAAGAUGGCCAAAUAGGAACAGGUAAAUUGGUUCUUAAUUUAGGCUUUGUAUCUGAGAUCUAGAGUCCCUGGGAUUUGGGUCCCGGGACUGGCAUUACCUUUGUAGGUGGCCCUUGACAACUAGCACUCUCUAAGAACUUAACAUUUGCAGGUGAAACCUUAAAACAUGUUCCAGAAGUUUGGAAAGUGGACGGAUUUCAACACAAGCAUUACCUGUUCCCAGUAGCUGACCAACUAGGAGAUUUCAGAGGUUAGUCAAGUGGGACAGAGCAGGGUAGGGAAUUUUAUUUUUAAGCUUUAUUAUAAAACAGGUAACUUUCUAUCUUAAGUAUUUGGAACUGGGGCUAUAGUUCACUCAUAAUGAUCAAAUAAUGAAAGGUCUACUUCAAAUGGACUACUUAACAUUGAACAUUUACCUUUUUGACUAGAAAUAACUGAUGAAAGUUCACUUAGUUUGGUGGGAAAUAAGAGAUAUAAAGAUAUCUUCUCCUCAGGAUGAGACUCCCAAAGGCAGAUGUUCUCUGAGUACCAGUGUUGCUGAAAUUUAGGACCUUUGCAGUUCCUUUGAGCAUCGUUCUGCUCUCCUAUUUCUAAUGACUCCAUCUAGACUCCUACUCAACUUCUCUUCCUGUGUGCAUUCCAGUUGCAAGUCACGCCCACCUUCUUAGCACUCUGUAUACCCUCUACCUGGACGGUUUUACUCUUCCCAUAUUCCAGCCACCAACCAUAUGCUGAGAUGGACUGAAUAUUUUUAUCUCCCCCAAAUUCAUAUGCUGAAGUCCUAAUCUCUAAUGUGAUGGUAUUUGGAGAUGGGGCUUUUAGGAUAUAAUUGUGUUUAGAUGAGGUCAUGAGAGUAGAGCCCUCAUGAUGGGAUUAAUGCCCUUAUAAGAAGAGGGUAAGACCAGAGCCUUCUCCUCUGACGAAAUUACCCACAGAAACCUUCACAUAUUGGCUGGGCGUGGUGGCUCAUCCCUGUAAUCCCAGUGCUUUGGGAGGCCAAGGUGGGCAGAUCACCUGAGGAUAGGAGUUUGAGACCAGCCUGGUGGGUGUCUGUAAUUCCAGCUACUUGGGUGGCUGAGGCAGGAGAAUCACUUGAACCUGGGAGGUGGAGGUUACAGUGAACCCAGAUAUCAUCACUGUGCUCCUCCAGCCUGGAGGACAGAGCAAGACUCCAUCUCAAAAAAAAAAAAAAAAAAAGGACACUCAACUAGCAUAAAUGAAUUGCAAGUGUUUUAUAGUAUACAAUGAGCACAACACAAGUGUCAAUAUAUAUAAAUAUAUGUUUCAAAGCUGGAACUUUAGCUUCUAAGGAUUAAGGAGAAUUUUAUUAAGUUGUGUAGGAAGUAGAAAAGUUCCUUUUUAAAGUUUCCUUUCUUGUUAAAAAUAAGUGUGCUAAUAACUUUGUUAAGCCCUAUCCUAUGUAGCUGUUAGACAGGCCAAGGUUACUUUAACCAAGAUAUCUGUGCUGGACAUGCUCACAGGCAUGUCCCAGCUCUCCAUUGCUUUUACUUGUUAGAAAAGUUUUAAGUUGGUAGCCAAUCGGGCUUUAGCUUAAAUUAUGAAGUCUGGCUCCAGCCAAUGGAGAUUAGACAUAGCAGUAAAGACGACCCCAAAAGCUUAAGGGAUACAUUUGUCCAUUUUCCUUUGUUCAUUGCACUCUCAUGGCAUGAUGGCUAGCAAGGGUACCUUGCCUGUGGUCCAGGAAGUAAAAAUUGCAUUGCUGAAAGAUCCUUUGUUUCAGUGCUAAUUCUCUUUGUGGCACCAAGCAUCUAUUUCCAACAAGGUGGUUCUUAAUUUAAGCUUUGUUCCUGAGACCUAGAGCCCCCUGGGAUUUGGGUCCCAAGACUGGCAUUACCUUUGUAGGUGGCCCUUGGCAACGAGCUCUCUCUAGGAUCUUUUUUUUGAGACCGAGUCUCUGUCACCCAGGCUGGAGUGCAAUGGCAUGGUCUUGGCACACUGUAGCCUCCGCCUCCUGGGUUCAAGCGAUUCUCCUGCCUUGGCCUCCCAAGUAGCUGGGAUUACAGGCACCCGCCACUACGACUGGCUAAUUUUUGUAUUUUUAGUAGAGACAGUGUUUUACCAUGUUGGCAAGACUGGUCUCAAACUCCUGACCUUGUGAUCUGCCUACCUCAACCUCCCGACCUUGUGAUCUGCCUACCUCAACCUCCCAAAGUGCUGGUAUUACAGGCCUGAGCCACCGUGCCCAACCCUCUAAGAUCUUAACAUUUGCCGAAGAAACCUCACAACAUGUUCCAAAAGUAUGGGAAGUGGACAGAUUUCAGCACAACCAUUACCUGUUCCCAGUAGCUGACCAACUAGGAGAUUUCAGAGGUUAGUCAAGUGGGACAGAGCAGGGUAGGGAAUUUUAUUUUUAAGCUUUAUUAUAAAACAUGUAACUUUCUAUCUUAAGAAUUUGGAACUGGGGCUAUAGUUCACUCAUAAUGAUCAAAUAAUGAAAGGUCUACUUCAAAUGGACUACUUAACAUUGAACAUUUACCUUUUUGACUAGAAAUAACUGAUGAAAGUUCACUUAGUUUGGUGGGAAAUAAGAGAUAUAAAGAUAUCUUCUCCUCAGGAUGAGACUCCCAAAGGCAGAUGUUCUCUGAGUACCAGUGUUGCUGAAAUUUAGGACCUUUGCAGUUCCUUUGAGCAUCGUUCUGCUCUCCUAUUUCUGAUGACUCCAUCUAGACUCCUACUCAACUUCACUUCCUCUGUGUGCAUUCCAGUUGCAAGUCACGCCCACCUUCUUAGCACUCUGUAUAUCCUCUACCUGGACAGUUUUACUCUUCCCAUAUUCCAGCCACCAACCAUAUGCUGAGAUGGACUGAAUAUUUUUAUCUCCCCCAAAUUCAUAUGCUGAAGUCCUAAUCUCUAAUGUGAUGGUAUUUGGAGAUGGGGCUUUUAGGAUAUAAUUGGGUUUAGAUGAGGUCAUGAGAGUAGAGCCCCCAAGAUGGGAUUAGUGCCCUUGUAAGAAGAGGAUAAGACCAGAGCCUUCUCUCCUCUGACAUAAUUACCCACAUAAACCUUCACAUAUUGGCUGGGCGUGGUGACUCAUCCCUGUAAUCCCAGCACUUUGGGAGGCCGAGACAGGUGGAUCACUUGACAUCAGGAGUUUGAGACCAGCCUGGCUCCCACAGUGAAACCCUGUGUCUACUAAAAAUACAAAAAAAUUAGCCAGGUGUGGUGGUGUGUGCCUGAAAUCUCAGCUACUCAGGAGGCUGAGGCAGGAGAAUCACUUGAACCUGGGAGUUGGAGGCUGCAGUGAGCCCAGAUCCCACCACUGCACUCCAGCCUGGGAGACAGAGCAAGACUCCAUCUCAAAAACAACAACAACAUAAAAAACCUUCACUUAUUGAAGAGCUGAUUGAUCUUUUAAGGAAGACAUCUCCAACCCCUGGGCUGGAGACUAGAAUGGGUCCAUGGCCUGUCAGGAACUGGGCGCAAAGCAGGAAGUGAGCAAAGGGCGAGCGAGCAUUACCACCUCAGCUCCACUUCCUGUCACAUCAGCAGCAGCAUUAGAGUCUUAUAGGAGUGUGAACUUUAUUGUGAAUUGCAAAUGUGAGGGAUCUAGGUUGCACGCUCAUUAUGAGAAUCUAAUGCCUGAUGAUUUGAGGUGGAAUGGUUUCAUCUUGACAUCAUCCCUCCUAUCCCCUGGUCUGUGGAAAAACUGUCUUCCACGAAACCUAUCCCUGGUGCCAAACAGGUUGGGGACCACUCGUUUAAAGGACUGAUGACUCUUUUAAUGCAAUGAGUGACACAGAUGAAGUAUAUAAUCUGCAUUCUAGCAGAAAUGGUAGUCUAGAUUUUGAGAAUGAAGAAUUUGAUAUCUUUAAAAUUAUUUUCUUGUCACACAGUUAUGGUCAUUCAAAAGCCAAUUUCUAUUAGAUUUCUUUUUUAUUGCUUGUUAUACAUAUGUAUAAGUGAAUAUGCCUUUUUUAAAAGCAAUCAUAACAUUGGAAGUCCUUUUUCUAUCUCCUUUGCACUGGUUUUUCUUGAACCAUUUGUUAAUCUACAAAUUCUAUGGCUACAUAGAAAUCUAUUCACAUUCACAGGAUUUUGCAACUUGCUUUGUUCCACUUUUACUGCUAUAUUUGCUUUAUCUGUAUUGAUUCUAUAGGAAUUAGUUUAUUUUACAGUUUGGCUUGCUUCUUUGUUAUGUAGUGUUGAAAUGCCAUAUUCACAUUUGCUUUUAUGGUUCCCAUAUUAAGGUUCAGGGAUUUACCCAUGCAUUUGUAUAGUUGAGCAUUUUUGUUGCUUCUUUAUACAAGCUUUAACUGAGACUAAUACAUGUAUUUUUCUUUUCUUUUUGUAGAGACAGGGUCUUGCUUUGUUGCCCAGGCUAAUCUCAAACUCCUGGUCUCAACUGAUUCUCCCACCUCAGCUUCCAAAAGUGCUGGGAUUACAGGCAUGAGCCACCAUGGGAACACCACAUUUCUAUAAGUCUCCAACAGCAGGCAAAGCAGAAAACAGUUGCGGCACUUACCUAGUUUGACCACAAAAUUGAUAAAUCUCUGGAUACAAAACUAGAAAAGAACAAACAAAUCUAUAGUUAAUAUUACUGAACUGUGUAAAUAAUGUAAAGAAAUUAGAAGUCAAAUUACAGAAACCCUAAAAAGUCUGCACACCUUCAUUUACUGAAGAUCUGUCAGAGUGGAGAAAAAUAGCCAAGUGAAGAUGACUGGGAUCCAUCCAGGCUAAGGUCUUCAAGAGCAGAAACCAGCUUUACUGAAAUUAUGUACUGAGCACAGCCCCUGACAUAUCAAUGAAUGAGUAAAUAAGACUCACUCACACAUGCCUUUUUAAGAAGAAACACAGAAUGUGGUAAACUAAGUUCCUUACCAACAUUGUUUUGAAUGGGAUGAUUUAUUUAGAGUGGGACUAAGGUGGGGGAAAAGAUGGAGACUGGAUCAGCUAAUAAGAGAAGCCACUGAGUGGAAGGGUCAGCAUUACAGCCGCUUCAGUCUACUCCAUCUAUGAUUUCCCUGUUCUCUUCAGAACAGGCUAGAAUUUUCAGGCAUAACUUUUCUAGGAAACUAGGCAGGGUGGGGGAAACCAUCAAUGCAAGGAAAUGGCAGUCUGAAAUUCAUUCUUCAUACCCUUAUUUAAACCAAAAUCUUGUCAAUGUCUAGCUUAUGUUGCAUAGCUUCCUAGAUCCCUACCCAGUUCCUAUUCUUAGUUUCACCUGGUCUGAGGAUGGACAAAGGUGAAAGUUAAGGUAUUUAAACUUUAAGGAGGAAGUAGAUUUAUGAUGGCUCAACUUUGAGGCCUAAGGGUGGGGAAUAAUUGAUCACUUCUGGAUUCUGCUUCUUCAUGCUCUCUCUGGGUUGGGGCUGCAGGUCACUCCCUCUAGCCCCCAGGGUGCUUUGUACUUCUGCUCUGUCAUCUCUGAUUACACUGAUGGCAGCCUGUCCUGUUCAAAAAGAUCCCACAGCCAAGCUUCAUUAGAACCCUCUUGGGUUCUAUGUGAUUUCCUAGAAUUUCAUAAUAACUUAUCUUCUUUUAUAUAAGCUAGUUUAAAUGGGUUUCUGUUACUUGUAACCAAAUAAUUUCUGACAAAGACAGAAACUCACAAAGCGUUAGUCCAUCCUUGAGACACUGGUCACCAGGGUCUAUAACACUAAGGGUCAGUUCCUGCUAAGGUGUAGGAACUUAGGGCUUGUGCUCAAGUCAUGUGUUCAUGUGUCUCACCUCUAACUGCAACAGGUUCUUCUAAACAAUGACUGAAUUUCUUUUUUUUAGCUGGGUGUAGCGGCAUAUGCCUAUAGCCCCAGCUACUCAAGAGGCUGAGGCAGGAAGACUGCUUGAGCCCAGGAGGUCGAGGCUGCAGUGAGCUAUGAUCAUACCACUGCACUCCAGCCUGGACAACAGAGCAAGACCCUGUCUCUAAAUAAAAGAGAACCAGCUGUUGAGACUGUUCCACCCUUCACUGAGGUUCUUCUUUCCCUGAAUGGCUAGACUGUCCUCCAUGGAACAUUCACAGCAGCCACUAUGUCCUCUGGGAUCUUCCUUGUAACAUAUCAGCUUCUGCUUCCUGUCUCAAAUCCUGUAUCUACUUUUGGGUCACCCACUAGGCUCUUAUUUUCUUCCUGGUGGAUGUUUCUAGUUCUCAGCACAUUUCCAGGGUGAACAAGACUGACCUGCCCUGACUUUGAAUGAAGCCUUCCCCAUUUUAGGUUACCAUGUUCAUAACUUCCUCAUAUUCUGUGAUAACUCUGGUGUGAUGUCCUCAAUGGGACAGCAUGUGGUCAUUUUCCCAGAAAUCUAUGACCAUUAUAUUAUAGUCACAAAAGUACUUUGAAGAUAGAGUAAAAAUAAGAUCCUUUCUAGGAGGAAGAGAAGAGCCAUAUCCAUAUGGGGCCUGUCCUGAUUAGACAUGUAGGGAACACAGACAAUGGGGACAGCUUUGGUUUUAAACAGGGAAAAGAGAGAAACAGAAGAAAGGUAAAGAAAGAAGCGCUGGGCAAUUUUAAUGAGGGCAAGUAUGGUAGGAAUGCUGGUGAGAGAGAAGAAAAAGAAUCCUUAAUUGGAAAAGAAAAAAGGCCGUGGGAAGGGAAGAAAACGUUUACCUGAUAGUUCAGGGCUAAAGAGAAGUCCUUUCUUUCGAAAGCCUCCAACAUCUGGCUUGUCUUUUUUCCCAGGUAGUUAUAGGUACUGGAAAGACAACAGCAAAUACUGCAGCUUCAAUAACUCAACAGGAAAGGCCCAGAUCUUCAAAUCCCUCUGCUGUUUAAAAGGGAAAAAAUAUACCCAGUCCUCCUAAAGUCUGUUUUUGGGUCUUAAUCUGUUAGGGGAUCAGACUGCCUUCAGUUCUGAGUUUUCCAGCAAUACUAAGCAGUACUGCAGAGAAGGAAGAGUGACAAAAGGGGAUAAAGGAAGAAAAGUGGAAAAAAGAUAAAACAGAAAAAAAAAAGCUGGAGGUGUAUUUGCUGGGAAGUGACUGAGGCCAGCUCCUGCCCUCGGGUACACACAGGUGCAAUGCCAGACAAGAAAUGUGGAAAAAAUGUAGCAUCUGAGGUGAGUCCUAAAAGGCUUAUACUGAAAAACUGGGUGGAUGGAGCACCAUGGUAAAAGGGGCAAAUCCCAACAAAUUACCUUCAUUCCUUGCCAAUGUAUAUAUUACUUAAAGACUAGUUUCUAGACAGUAAUAUUAAUAAUCAUAAUAAAAUGAGGGCCCAUUUACUAAGUGCCUAUUAUAUUACAGGUGCUUGACAUAGAUCAUGUCUAAUCCUUGUAAAACCAUGGAAGGGUAGGCCUGGUUUUUAUUUUGAUCAAAGAAGGGCUGCAGAGUUGCCACAAAAGCUUUUCCAUUGUGUCAUGCUAUCUUCAAUAAUAAUGCAAUAAAAAUGAAGGUAAGAAUACUUAUUUGACCUGACAAUACAUUUUUGUGGACUUAAACUCUCUAACUCUACCUAUAAAGACAAAUAUCUUAAAUGAAUCACUGAAUUAUCUGAGGCCCAGUUGUAUAUCCUCCCCUUGGAUUCUGUGUGAUUUCUCAGUAUUUUAUAAUAACUUAUCUUCUUUUACAUAAGCUAGUUUAAAUGGGCUUCUGUUAUUUGUAACCAAAUAAUUUCUGAAAUCAGCAAAGUAGAAGGUUAUAGAAACUCAUAAUAAGGACAUUUCCCCAAGUUCUUUAAAUUCAAAUCGCUUCUCACAUGGUAAGUCGGUAUCAGAAAAUGCAUUUAUCUUGAUGUACCAAGAACAGAAAUGUUGUUGGACUUUUAUAUAUAAGCCCUGGGUCAACAGCAAAGGAUUCCAGGAAUGUGAAGCUCAUGUUAUCUUCUGGCAAUAGACUAAGGAAGAACAAUGUCUGAGGAGUUUCAGACACUAAAAUUUGAAUCCCAGUGGUCUUAGGUGUAUCCUUGGUUAGAAAGAAAGGUGAUUAUAACUAGGGAGAAAUGAAGUCUAACCAAAUGUACUUUGCUUAUAGAUUAUGUUGACAGAAUUAAAAUGCCUAGGAUGGAGGCCAAAAAGGAGGAGUCAAAAAAGUAAGAAUUUCCAGGGGGAAAAAGGUUUAAUGGUGAUAUGAUUUGGAUCUGUGUCCCUGCCCAAGUCUCAUGUUGAAAUAUAAUCCUCAAUGCUGGAGGUGGGGCCUGGUGGGAGUUGGCUGGAUCAUGGGGGCAGUUCACAUGGUUUAACUCAUCUCCCUUUGUGCUGUUGUUGUGAUAGUUCUCAUGGAAUAUGGUUAUUUAAAAGUGUGUGGCACCUGACCUCCUCUUCCUCCUGCUCUGGCCAUGUAAGAUGUACUUGCUUAGCCUUGCUCCAUGAUUGAAAGUUUCGUUCAGAAGCCAAGCACAUGCUGCCAAGCUUCCUGCACUGCUGAAUCAUAAGCCAAUUAAACUUCUUUUCUUAUAAAUUGCUCAGGUGUUUCUUUUUUUUCCUUCUUUUCUUUUUCUUUUGAGACAAAGUCUUGUUCUGUCAUCCAGGCUGGAGUGCAGUGGGGCAAUCUUGGCUCACUGCAACCUCCACCUCCCAGGUUCAAGUGUUUCUCCUGCUUCAGCCUCCGGAGUAGCUGGGACUACAGGCGUGCACCACCACGCCCAGCUAAUUUUUGUAAUUUUAGUAGAGACAAGGUUUCCCAUGUUGGCCAGGCUGGUCUUGAAUGCCUGGCCUUGUGAUGUGCCUGCCUCGACCUCCCAAAGUGCUAGGAUUACAAGCGUGAGCCACCGUGCCCAGCCACUUUACAGCAAUGUGAGAAUGAACUACUACAGAUGUUCAGCAAAUACAGCAUUCAGAUUUCCUUAGUAGAAAUACCCCUGUAGUUAUGAUGGCUGUCAUGGGCAAUCUUGGCUUGGUGAACAAGCCAUUUACAUUAUUCAACUCAGUCACUCUUUCUCAAAGCCAGGCUCACCAAAAUAUGCUAUAAAUGUUAUUUUGCUCCCUUGGUACCUUUCAGUGAAUGCAAACAUUUCAUUCAAUCUGCUUACAAGCAUAUUCUAAUGAAUUAGGUUAACAUGUGCAGUGGACAUGCUAAUUGAAUUGCCUGUCUUUUGCUAAGUAGGCAUUGGGGCACAUGAUUCCGGUUAGACCUGACAUGGACACUUGCCUAGGUAUUGCUACCUAAUGAUGUCCUGAGAUGCCACACUUGGGCAGCCAUGACUGGGCAUGUGCAUACUGAAGCAGAGAAAGCCCAUCUGGAUACAGACAGACAGAAGAGAAAUGAAGGCAUGUGCAGAAAGAUGCAGAGGAAUAUAGCCAUUCCUGCAAUGACUUCAUUCAGAGCCAGUGGGAAGGUGGUAUGUUUAUACAGUAUCGUGGAGGUUUCAUGUUGCCAACAGCAGAAGUAUAUGCUGAAAACCAUUAAACAUGUACAGACAUGGGAUUUGUCUCUCAUUAAGUUAGAGGAAGAGAAUCACAGAGAUAAUUUAGCCCAUUAUCUUAAAGGUAAGUAAAUUGGAAUCUGUAGAAAUUAGUUUUAUAUCCAUGCUUACAUUAAAAAAACACUUCUAAGUUGUGAUAAAAGACAGGAAACUAAAAAUCAAUUCUAGGUUGGGUACGUCGUGGCUCACACCUAUAAUCCCAGCACUUUGAGGGGCCAACUUGAGCAGAUUAUGUGAGCUCAGGAGUUCAAGACCAGCCUGACCAACAUGGAGAAACCCCAUAUCUACUAAAAAUACAAAAAAAAAGUAGCCAGGCAUGGUGGCACAUGCUUAUAAUCCCAGCUAUUCAGGAGGAUGAGGCAGGAGAAUUGCUUGAACCUGGGAGGCGGAGGUUGCAGUUUGCUGAGAUCAUGCUGCUGCACUCCAGCCAGGGCAACAAGAGUGAAACUCCAUCUCAAAAAAUAAAUAAAUAAAUGGAAACAAACAAAUUCUAAUGGAAAUAAAGGAUCUAGUUUAAUCAUGUUAGAGUCAAUAAUUUAUGUGUCAGGUGUCAGGUAUUACACAUGAUUUUUGUAAAUAAAUGAUAUUGCAUAUAUUUAUUUAACAGUGUUUUGCAUAUAUCUGGCACUGGCUAAUACUUGUUGACUUAGAUCAAAUGUAAAUUGAAAAAAAAAUCAAGAUGCCAAUGGUGAAUCAAGCACUAGGGAAGAAAUCUAAUUGGGAGGUGGUACGUACAACAUAACUGUUAAGAACUUCUAUCCUGGGUGCGGUGGCUCACAGUAAAUGCUUAAUAAAUAUUACCAGUUAUUAUUGUUAAGCCUUAAGAAUAGAGCCUUAAAGAAAAAAAAUGGGACAAUAAAAAAGAAAAAAAAAGAAUAGAGCCUUUUAAUGCUGUAAAAAAUAUAGAAAACAAUAAAGAUAAAGAAUCAUUAGGGAUUUAAAAAAUGUCUAGGGAAUGGAAUUUAAGGCUCAGCUAAGCAGAAUUUGAAAAACAAUAAUUGAUUAAUCAAUACAUGAGUACUUAAUUUUGUUAAGCAUUGUUUUAGAUGCUGUAUUUGGUGGUGUCACGUGCAUGAAGAUAGGUAUGAUACUGAGAUAUUUUUGGUUGGAGAUAAAAAUAGCUUCCUCAAAGAAUCCAACCAGGAACUAAUCCCGUGGGCAGUGAAUUCACUUUAAAAAGCAAUUUCCUGGGAACGAUUCAAGAUGGCCAAUUGCUAACAUCUCGGGAUUGCAGCUCUCAGUGAAAGCACAGAGAACGAGAGGAUGCCACACUUUCAGACAAAUUUUGGUCGCUCACAGAGCAGAAGAUUCCAAGUGAAGAAGCCGCACAGGUCGCCAGCGUGACUCUUGUGGCCGGUGCAGCGGUUUUGCUGGCACCUCGGCGCGGCAGCUCUUGGUGCAGAGUAAACGGGACUGGUUCCCCUUCUGACCGAGGUCUGGAGCUCUGGGAAGGCAGAGUCACCUAUUACGGACUCAAGAAGGAAGCCAGACUGGAGAUUCCCGGGCAGAAAAGCACCAUCAGUCUUAACGCCGCUGUUUUGGCUGGCGCAGUGGGUUGCUCAUAUUUCGGCCCUGGGAAUUAACAACUUGGACGUCCACCCAGAGACCUAAUCUGAAAGUUGGUAAUUACAAAGAUGACAGGUGGAUAAAUUUACAAUGAUGGGAAGAAACCAGCGUAAAAAGGCUGAGAAUACUCAAAAUCAGAAUGCCUCUCCCUCUAAAGAGGAUCACAGUUCCUCAUCAACAAGGGAACAAGGCUUGAUGGAGGACGAGUGCAUCCCAUUAACAGAAUCAGGCUUCAGAACAUGGAUAAUAAGAAACUUCUGUGAGUUAAAAGAACAUGUUGUAGCCCAAUGUAAAGAAACUAAGAAAUUUGAAAAAAGGUUUGACGAAAUCCUAAUGAGAAUAGACAGCUUAGAGAGGAAUAUAAGUGAAUUAAUGGAACUGAAGAAUACAAUACAGGAACUCCGAGAAGUAUGCACAGGUUUAAACACUCGAAUUGUUCAAGCAGAAGAAAGGAUAUCAGAGGUCGAAGUCCAACUUAAUGAAAUAAAACGAGAAGACGAGAUUAGAGAAAAAAAGGAUAAAAAGGAAUGAGCAAAGUCUCCAAGCAAUGUGGGACUAUGUGAAAAGACCAAAUUUACGUUUGAUAGGUGUACCUGAAUGCGAUGGAGAGAAUGAAUCCAAGCUGGAAAAUAUUCUUCAGGAUAUUAUUCAGGAAAAUUUUCCUAAACUAGCAAAACAGGACAAUAUUCAACCCCAGGUAAUACAGAGAACACCACAAAGAUAUUCCUCAAGAAGAGCAACCCCAGGGCACAUAAUCAUUAGAUUCACCAGGGUUGAAAUGAAGGAAAAAAUACUAAGGGCAGCCAGAGAGAAAGGUCAGGUUAAUUACAAAGGGAAGCCUAUCAGACUUACAGCAGAUCUCUCAGCAGAAACUCUACAAGCCAGAAGAAAGUGGGGGCCAAUAUUCAACAUCCUUAAAGAACAGAACUUUCAGCUCAGAAUUUCAUAUCCAGCCAAACUAAGCUUCACAAUUGAAGGAAAAAUAAAAUCUUUUAUGAACAAGCAAGUACUCAGAUUUUAUUACCACCAGGCCUGCUUUAUAAGAGCUUCUGAAAGAAGCAUUACACAUAGAAAGAAACAACCAGUAUUAGCCUUUCUAAAAAUAUACCAAAAAGUAAAGAGCAUCAACAUAAAGAAGAAUUUACAUCAACGAAUGGAUAAAACAGCUAGUUAACAUCAAAUGGCAGUAAUCCUAAAUUUAAAUAGACUAAAUCCCCCAAUCAAAAGAUACAGCCAAAACCCAACGGUAUGCUACAUCCUGACCCAUUUCACAUGCAAGGAUACACAAAGACUCAAAACAAAGGGAUGGAGAAAGAUUUACCAACCAAAUGGAGAGCAAAAAUAAAUAAAUAAAUAAAAAGCAGGAGUUGCAAUUCUCGUAUCCGAUAAAAUAGAUUUUAAAGCAACAAAGAUAUAGUGGUAAAAGGAUCAAUGCAACAAGAGCAAACAAUCCUAACACCCAGAUACAUAGAGACUUAGACUCAAUGAAACAGAAAAUUAAUAAGGAUAUCAAGGACUCAAACUUAGAUCCGGAACAAGUAAACUUAAUAUUUAUAGAGCUCUCCACUUUAAAUACACAAAAGAUACAUUCUUGUCAAUACCACAUCACACCUACUCAUAGGUUUAAAUGAAAUAUUGAUUGGCCAUUAUUAAUACCUAUUUUUUUUUAGAAUAAAGCAACAUUUCCGUUCUCUCUCCCUCUUUUUCUUCCUCUUCCUUCGUCUCCUUCACUCCUUUUUCUUUCCUUCUCUCAAAAAAAGAAGGAAAGAAAUCAACUUGUAGACCUCUAGAUCCAGGUCGGCAAUGCCUCUCUCACUGCCUCAUUUCCUUCCUUCCCUUCUCUCCCUCCCUCCUUCCCUCCCUCCCUCCCUUCUUUCCUCCCUUCCUCCCUUCUUUCCUCCCUUCCUCCUUUCCUCCCUUCCUGCCUUCCUCCCUUCCUACAAAAAAAAAAAGCAAUUUCCUAUCUUGCAAAUCUCCUCAUAAUUUGGCCAAAAGAGGAUAGUUGCUCUCAUACCCCAAUGGUCAUUUUUGGGGGUACUCCAUGUUCCAUCUGGGGAGAGGCUACAGUGGGAGACUGGUCUUCUAAAAGUGGGAUUAAUAAUGUUCAGCCAUGAAUGCAGUCAUCCCAGUGAGUCUUCUGAAGGACCCUGAAUAACACAUACCCUCAUGAGACAGAUACCACAUUUCUGUUUAGGCCCAGUCACGGAGUCCUCCAGGGGUUCCUGCUAGCUCUGUCUUAGGUAAAACAGGACCUAGCUGGGAAGUGACAUGAUCAGGUUUGUAUUUGUAUUUUUCUAUUUUUUUCUUUUUUUUUAAACUUCAUUUUAAGUUUAAUAUACCUUGAAGGUUUGUAUUUUUAAAGAACAGAAGACUUCUGAAUGGAAAAAGGAGAACUGACUGACCUGCUGGACUCUCACCAGCAGUUUUAUUGCAUGACCCCUUUCUUCACUACCCCUUUCUUUUGGCUUAGGUGAAGCCAAUCAUCCAUUUGCUUUUCCUCUUUCUCCUGGGCUGCUAGAUACAGCUACCAUUGUUGGAAAUUUAAAAUACAAAUUUCCUAGUGAUCUCCCAAUCCAGGAGAGGGCUCCAAUGAGCGUUCUGGCUGUUACGCCUCAUUUCUCUGGAGUGCUACUCCAAAUCUUGACUAUUCCUGUCAAGCUCUAAAUUCUUACCAAUUACUUGUUCUGGGCAGAUGUCCGAGUCCCAGAGACCAAAGAUGAAGCAGCUUUCAAACGCAGACUCCCUUACCCUUCUUCCUUUCCACCUGUGUGUGGGGUGACGUCACCAUUUGCUUUCCUCCUAGCUUCUCAGCUGUUUUUUUUUUUUUUUUUUUUUUGAGGAGUUUUGUUCUGUUGCCCAGGCUGGAGUGCAGUGGAGUGAUCUUGGCUCACUGCAACCUCCGUCUCCUGGGUUCAAGCAGUUCUCCUGCCUCAGCCUCCUGAUUAGCUGGGAUUACAGGUGCUUGCCACCAUGCCCAGCUAAUUUUUGUAUUUUUAGUAGAGACAGGGUUUCACCAUGCUGGCCAGGCUAGUUUCGAACUCCUGACCCCGUGAUCUGCCCGCCUCAGCCUCCCAAAGUGCUGGGAUUAUAGGUGUGAGCCACUGUGCCCAGCCGGUGUUAUAUCUUUAAAACCCAAUGUAGAUUGUGAGUUGAAUCAAUUUCUGAUCAAUUCAUCAGGAUGUAAUCCUAUCAUCAGUGGAGAAGCAUCUGUAUUUCAAACUCCUAGCCAACCCCCCCAUCCAAGACCUUUCAUCAGAGUUAUCAAUUCACCACUUUUUUUUUUAAGACAGGGUCUUGCUCUGUCCCCCAGGCUGGAGUGUAGUGGUGUGAUUUUGGCUCACUGCAACCUCUAUCCCCCUAGCCUCAAGUGAUCCUCCUGUCUCAGCUUCCCAAGUGGCUGGGACCACAGAGGCAUACCACUAUGCCUGGCUAUUUUUUUUUUUUUUUUUUUUUUUGUAGAAAUGGGGCCUUCGUAUGUUGCCCAGGCUGGUCCUGAUCUCCUGGGCUCAAGCAAUCUGCCUGCCUAGGCCUCCCAAAGUGCUGGGAUGACAGGUGUUAACCACUGUGCCCAGCCAAGGUUUACUAGUCUUUUCUGUAUUUUUAAUCUCGUCUCCCCUGGCAGUUUUUCAGCAUAGAAACAUGCUCAAAUUUUUUCCACUUAACGAAACUGUCCUCCUUUCAAUCUUGCCUAUUCCUUCCUAAUCUACGACUCCGUCUCUCCUCUCCUUCCCUUUGCCAGAAAUCUGUGAGGAUCGGCUGCACUCACUGCCCCCACAUGCAGAUGUCUGCUGCAUUCUACAGCUCACUGCAGUCUGGCUUCUCUACAAUAACCUGACUGGCCCCACUCUCAGAGGUCAUCAGUGACUUCCUGUGAUGUGUCAAACCUAGCGGUUUUCUCAGUCUUUCAUAUGCUGACUUUCAUGGCAUCUAAUAGUUAUUAUAACAAAUGUUAUAAUAAACACAGCACCUACUGCAUCUACUGCAAAUAGUUACAAUGAAUUCUUACAUUAGUGUGAAUGUGUUAUGUGAAUGAUGCUUGCCAGGCACUGUUCUAAUACUCUCUACAACCUCCUAAGUGAGGUACUAUUAUUUCUACUUUAGGAGUGAAGCACACAGAAGUUGGGUGAUGUGCCUGAGUCCCCAGAGCUAAUAAAAAGCAGAGCGGGGCCUCAGACAGACAGUUGGGCUCUAUGGUGCCUGCUACACUGGCGCUCUCUGAAAUCAUUGUCCCUGGCUGCCGUGACCGGACCCACUCCCAACCGCCCUCCUACCCCCGAGGGCUUUCUGUCUCUGCCUACUUCCCUGUCCCUCAUUUCUGGUACUGUUCUUAAUGUGUACCCUUAGCCUUUUCUGUUUUCACACUCUGCCCAUGGUCCUUAAUCUUUUUUGGACCCUAGCUCUCACAAAAUUAACUGAAAGCUGAUGGUUCACCAGAAAAUGCUUCCAUGAAUAUGCACUCAAACUUGGCACAUAAUUUCAGAGUAAUGGAGGUACCCUGAAGCCAUGAAGGCUUCCCAAGGACAUCAUGGGCUGCACACUGACAACCUCUGCUCACUUACCUCCACCUAAGGCAAUAUUGAUUAUUCCCUUCUUGUUUUUGCAUUCAUCAGAAGGUCUGGGGUGUUACUUUUCAUGAUCUAACAUCCCUACUGAAUGGUCAGCAACCUGAAGGCAGAGCCCCUGCUUUAUAUUGCUGGUGCCUAGCACAGUACAUGACAUACAACAAUGUAACAGACAAUCAAUAAAACUUAGUUAACUGGCAGUGCUUAUGAACUGAUACUAUCCUGUUUGUUCAACCACAGUAUGAAUUGGGUGUUAAAAAAAUAUAUCACUGCAUGGAAGUUUAGCAGCUACAGAAAGUCCUCAAACAGCACAAGAAGCAGCACCAUAAAAGAGCAUGUUGAGCUGGAUGCACAGAGACCUAUAAAGAGAAAUGGGCCAAUACAAGCAUCAGGUGCUCAUCCCAAGAAGGGAAGGGGUGUGAGUUGCUCAGUGGAAAGGCCAGGUGACAGCAGAGUCCGUCACCACCCUCCUCUCUUAUCCUUUAGCCCAAGGGUGGGUAACUGUGAGGGGAUUGGCCUUGUAGACAGAUAAGAGGCAGUUUCCCAACAGAGCCUCUGGGAGGCAGGUAUGCCUAGGAGUUUGGCUGCCCUUCUGCACAGAAAAGGAGGGGGCUCUUCUCCAAGGAGCUAGGAUUCCUGGGGCCCUGCUCAUAUUCCCACCAGCUGACUGGAGCCCAGGCUCUGACCAGAAAGCAGGGAGGCUGUAUCCUAUGGGGAAGAGGCUCAUUGAAUACAGCUGUUGCCAAAAAGCAUUUUUAUCCUGGGCAGCCACUCACUUGUCCUUCCCUUUUGUCACCCACUCCUCUGCGACCCGGCGACGCUCUGAGACGCUCAGGGACAGGCCUUCUCCCGUUGUGCCAUUCACUGUUCCAAAUAAAGAGUACCUCCAGCUCUGGAGGGGCUCUGUUGGUAGAGCAGUAGCUCAGAGGCAAGGUGUAGUGUCCUCAAAAUAAAAAUGCAUCUAAGGGUCUGAGAGCCCAGAACACCACACAAGGGACAGCUCAACCACAGGUAAGUAUGUUAAAAUGCUCAAGAUCCAAAUUUUUUAAGCUUUCACUUUCUAGGAAAUAAAUGGGGAUAAGUACUAAUCCUGUGAUUUCUUUGUGUGCUACAUUUAGAGUCUUCCUUUCAUUCACAAUUUGAAAAGCCAGGUAAAGACAAAAUAAAGCCCAUUCUUAAGAGAAAGAAGAGGCCGGGCGGGGUUGCUCACUCCUAUAAUCCCAUCACUUUGGGAGGGUGAGGUGGGUGGGUUACCUGAGAUCAGGAGUUUGAAACCAGCCUGGUUUUCUUCUUUAGAAAGAAUGAAAAAAAAAAAAAAAAAGAAAGAAAGAAAGAAAUGAAACCAGCCUGGUCAACAUGGCGAAAUCCCGUCUCUACUAAAAAUACAAAAAUUUGCUGGGUGUGGUGGUGUGCGCCUAUAGUCUAGCUACUGGGAAGCUGAGACAGGAGAACUGCUUGAACCCGAGAGGUGGAAGUUGCAGUAAGCCAAGAUCGUGCCACUGCAUUCCAACCUGGGGAUGACAGAGCAAGACUCCAUCUCAAAAAAGAGGCCAAGGCAGGCAGAUCAUGAGGUCAGAAGUUUGAGACCAGCCUGACCAACAUGGUGAAACCCCCUCUACUAAAAAUACAAAAAUUAGCUGGGCAUGGUGGUGGGCACCUGUAAUCCCAGCUACUCGGGAGGUUGAGGCAGGAGAAUCACUUGAACUUGGGAGGUGGAGGUUGCAGUGAGUCGAGAUUGCACCACUGCAAUCUCUCCAGCCUGGGCAACAAGAGCAAACUCCAUCUCAAAAAAAAAAAAACAAUUCCAUCUCAAAAAAAAAAAGGAGAGAAGGUGGUUUAGUUGUUACUUAAGAGGGUUUAGUUGUUAUUCUACCACUUCUUGGCUGAAUGGCCUGGAGCAACCUAGAGUAUAUCUGAGUCAUAUAUUUUCAUCUCUAAAUGGGGAUAAAAAUAAUACCUUAAGUGUUGUCAUACCAUCAAAUGAGGUAAUCUCUUGAGGUGCUUUGCAGGUCUAACACUGGUGGGUCUACAAAUUCACAAAUUUUAGUUAGCUUAGCCAGGCUCCAUCAUAACUUGUGACAGCAUGACUCUGUGACCUCUUGGCUGGUAACCAGGCGAGAUAUACCUUCUAAAGACUGAGCUGGAGACAUGUAGAGACAUCACCAAGGUUGACUUACCAAAGAUGUUCUUCACUCCCUGCUCUUUCACAAGAUAAUCCACAUACUGACCAAUUACUGAAAAGUUGAUUUCUCUAGAAGACAUGGGAAAAAUGGGAAAAAAUUGCAUAUUUAGUCUUUCUCAGAUUAUUAUUCAACAAAUCUCAUAUAAACUGCUCCCUCUUGCUAAUAUUAUUAAAAAUCCACUCAAUUUGUGAAAUUCUUAGCCUUCUCUAAAUAAUGCCUGGGCUUUUUACCCCCUGAAUCUGGUGAUUUCUCCACUCAGCCAUGUAUGCCUCACUUCUAUGAGCAAAACACUAUUAGUUAUCAACAGAAUCUUUAUAUUUACACCUCAUCACAAGAAGUGUGUAAAAAGUAGUUAUCUAAUUAUCUUUCUUUUUAGAGCCCAUAUGGCCAUGUAUCUUUUGCCUUUUUUGGGGAAGAGUGAUGGUCAGGGACAUGGUUAAAUGAGAACUUAAUAUUUGCCAUUUGAUCCCAAGCGCUGGGAUUACAAGUAUGAGCCAUCAUGUCUGGCCUGUCCCUUCUUGUGUUUUCCCACCCUACUCUCAGGGUACCUAGGUCUAUUUUCAUUGCUGGAGGCCAUUAUCCAUGAUCAAUUAUUAGGAAGACAUUCAAGAGGAUAUAAACAUUCAUUUCUUAGACUUACAAAACAGGAAGAUUCAAUCUUAGUGAGAAGUUUAACACUUAAUAUUUGUGACAGCACAUGAAAUCUUAAACCCAUCUGUAUUUGCUGGUUUUAUAUUGAAGAAGGUUAGCAGUUAGAAAGGAACUUCGUCAUCACUUUGCCUCUCAAAGGCGGAACAGCACCAUCAGCAUCUGGGGGGCUUUGUUACACAUGAAAUAUUCCAAGCCCCACACAGUCCUGUUCAGUUCGAAUCUGAAUUUUAACAAGAUCCCCAUGUGACCUGCAUGUCCUUGGCAAUUUGAGGCACAUAACUUUGUAAGGAUCUGAUGCUUAAGGUUAAGGGCUCUUUUCUUAAAAUCAUAUUGAUUUCAAAAUCUAGAAACUGACUCACAAGCAAAUUGUAUUAGGCAACCUGUCCUCAAUCAAAAUGCAGGAGGGGACUGAUGGGCAAUGAAGAGUGAAAUCCAAAGAAAAAUAGUGCAGCAAGCCUGGGUUAAAUGGUUACACCGUACCCAUGGUUACACCGCCAAGAACACAGAGUGCUAGCUGGCUGUCACUACACUUUUGUCUGUGGGGCCAGAGAAUCCUACUUUAAGUUUGGCCUUAUUAACAUUCUUUUCACCUUUACGUACUGUAUUCCUUAAACAACAAAAAUAAAACCAAAAAACUCUGAUGUAUCUAGGAAACAAAGACAUCAAAUGAUAUUCGUCAAAAGGAGUAAGAACAAAAAGACAUAUGAUAGAAAACAACUGACUCCGAGACUAAAAGGAAAGCUACUAAAUGCAAAGAAUGCACAGGCAAUCAUGCCUAUAGCAAGUUCAGAGAAAAGACAGCAGGCCUGAGCCCGCCAGUUGGGAAAAGGUGUGUUAAUGCAAUUAUAAAGCUUGUAAGGGGAGCGAACUCCCUAAUUAUGGCACCUGCCCCCAUAUCCUAACACUGCUCCCUCCUGGCCUCAGUCUGCACCUGGAACAGCCCAGGUGUUCAGCAAAGGCUGGGCAAAGGAGUGGUGGUGCGGGAAGUGACAAUGAUGAAAUCACCAUGAGCUCUGCCUUUACAAGCCACUUAGACCACACAUGAUAUUUUGAAAUUUCUCUAUUAAUUGAGUAAAGAAGAUAGUAUACAUGAUUAAAAUAACGAAACAUAAUGAAGGUUAUGACUGAGUCAAAAAUUAAGUGUGUGGGGGCUCAGAAGAGACUGAUAAAUGUCAGUUAGGGAGGCUGGAAAGAAGACAUCCAAGGGCUGGAUCUGGAUAAAUAGGACAAAACCCUAUGAUCUUCCAACAUUUUUUUUUUAAGACAAAGUCUCACUCUGUCUCCCAGGCUGAAGUGCAGUGGUGUAAUCAUGGCUCACUGCAGCCCUGACCUCCUGGGCUCAAGUGAUUCUCUCGCCUCAGCCUCCAAAGUAGCUGGAACCACAGGUGCAGCUAACUUUAAAUUUUUCAGUAGAGAUGAAGUCUCACUAUGUUGCCAAGACUGGUCUCAAACUCCUGGGGUCAAGCGAUCCUCCUGCCUCAGCCUCCCAAAGUGUUGGGAUUACAAGUGUGAGCCACCAUAUCCGACCCCUCCAACAUUCUUGAGUGAUACUGUUGGGCCCUAUUCUAGUUUCAUCCUCUUUUUAGGGAGUUGGCUGCACCCUUAGGCAGAUCUAGGUCAGUAUGUGAAACUGGAAGCUCCUUCUCUUUCCUCCAUGAACUUUACAGUUUGUUGGCCUCAGUGGAUAGUGCUUCCACCUACAGUCACCUCUCUCCCUCAGGCCUUGCUGGGAGACAGGCUAUUCAGCUGACAAUUGCACUCAGGGUUAGAGGUCUAAUGGGUUAUGCCUUCAAGAAAGGAGAUAGCAGUUUGCUGCUGCUUAUAAAAUGCCCUAACCUACAGGAAUGAUACUAAUGGAAGAAUUUUGGGGCAAAAUUUUGGGGGCAGUGGCCAUCACUCAGAAAAUGUUCUUGAAUUCAAGUCCUUUUGUAACUACCAGGUCUCUUUAGAGAGAUCUAGGUUGAAAAGGGACUAACUUUAAAUAUGUUUCACUGACAAUAUAUUUUUUCCUUAAAGAUUAUUUGAAAAGCCAGAAAAAUCUAACAAUGUCAGGGCUGCUGGGUGUGGUGGCUCACGCCUGUAAUCCCAGCUCUUUGGGAAGCUGAGGUGCGUGAAUCACUUGAGAUCAAGAAUUCAAGACUAGCCUGGCCAACAUGGUGAAAUCCUAUCUCUAUUGAAAAUGCAAAAAUGAGCUGGGCAUAUUGGUGGACACCUGUAGCCCCAUCCUGUAAUAGGGAGGCUGAGGCAGGAGGAUUGCUUGAAACCAGGAGGUAGAAGUUGCAUGAGCCAAGAUGGUACCACAGCUAGAAACUGGAAAGCGUAGCAGCAAUCUGCCUGCCUAGGCCUCCCAAAGUGCUGGAAUUACAGGUGUGAGCCAUCAUGCUUGGCCUGUCCCUUCACUUGUUUUCCCACCCUACUCUCUGGGUACCUAGGUCUAUUUUCAUCAUCAGAGGCCAUUAUCCAUGAUCAAUUACCAGAAGUCACUAGAGAGACUGGAAACAAUGAGACUGGAUGAUUAUUCUGCCCACCCACUGGGCAUUCAGAGCUCAGUGCUCACAGAAGUGAGUUGAAACAAGUCAAUCCACUUGAGUAGGUUGCAUUGUACCUUCUCUUUCAUGAGCCCCAAGAACACAUCUAACAACCUGGCACAUCAGGGGAGAGUGAUCCAGAACCAAAUUCCAUGCUUGCUGUAGUCACUUUUAUAUUUAAAGCCAGUUUAAUGUCUUAAAUUCAAUUACUGGGGAUUCAGACUCUUUGCCUUGGGUUUAGAUUCAUGCCUUGGAGCCAUGAAUUUUUGUUGUUGUUUUGAGACAGGGUCUUGCUAUGUUGUCUAGGCUGGUCUCAAACUCCUGAAUUCAAGUAAUCCUCCACUUCAGCCUCCCAAGUAGCUGGGACUACAGAAGUGUGCCACUAUGCCCCAUUAAUUUUAUUUAACUUUUUUUUAAAUUACAAAAGCUAUAUAGUUUGGUUUAGAAAGUACAUACAAUAAAAAAAGAAAACCCACUCAGGAUAUCUCUGGAGAUGAUUCCUCUUAGUUUGAUAUUUUUCUAUUCACAAAUAUACAUAUUAUUUUCUUAUAUAAAUAUGGCCAUAUUAGACACAGUUUUAUAAUAUUUUUCACUCAGCAUUCUAACAUCUUCCCACAUUUUUAGAUGGUCCAUUACUGUACUGGCUAAACAACAUUCUAUUUUAUGGAUGAAUGUAAUUACGUUUUCUAAUUGUCUGUUCUUAGACAUUUAGUUUGCCCAAACUAUGCAAGCAGAAGAAAGUCUUCUGUUCAUUUUGCCACAAAUUGAGGUCUAGAGUGGGCAGACUGUGAAACUGCAGGGAGACUCUACAACUCAUCUCUUAGAGUAAAAGGGUGACAGAAUUUUUCUGAAGUGGCUUUUCAGGGAGAAAUCCCUGUUAUUGUUUGUUUCCUUUCCUGGUGCACAAAACACCAUGAAAGACUUCUGCUUUAGCUGAGAAGGUAGAAUCCGCAAGGCAGGCAGUUUUCACAUCUCACAUGAUGUGGCAUGCGUAUUAGGAAAUCUGAUUUUCCAUUUUCUUUUGCCUUUUAUACAUAUCUCUCAGCAUUCAAUCAGAUAGGAGUUAUAAGUACUCUCGGCAAAACAGCCACCUGGUUACUUCAAAAUUCUUUCAGCAGGGAGGCAGGCAGGGACUAACCUGCCCACCCCGUUGGAGCUGGAAAAUGUUCUGUUCUGGGAGUCUGGGUCCCCUCAUCUCCUAAACACUGUUAAAAGGACAAUCAUCUCUGCCAGUCUGACUCCAGCAGGCCAGGCCUUUUCUCACUGGGGUUACAGGAUUUGUUUUUACCAGAGGGUGUUGUAAAGAUUCCCAGGGUGAUGACAAGAACAUUUGAGGGAAAAAAACACAACUUUGUUCUUGAAACUUUAGAUCUGAAAUGGACUUUCUGUUCUAAUGACUGUGUGCCUGCCCAAAGAAAAGGUGAGUUCUUAGAACAACUAAAGAGAGCAAGUCUUGGCCGGGUGCGCUGGCUCACACCUGUAAUCCCAGCACAUUGAGAGGCCGAGACGGGCAGAUCACUUGCUGUCAGGAGUCUGAAACCAGCCUGGCCAACAUGGUGAAACCCUGUCUCUACUAAAAACACAAAAAUUAGCCGGGCGUGGUGUUGCAUGCCUGUAAUCCCAGCUACUCAGGAGGCUGAGGUAGGAGAAUUGCUUGAGCUUGGAAGGGAGAGGUUGCAGUGAGCCAAAAUCACACCGCUGCACUCCAGCUUGGGCGACAGAGCGAGACUUCGUCUCAAAAAAAAAAACAACAAGUAUUUCAUUAGACUUGCUAGCGUAUAAAAAGGCAAGGGCUGGAUAGGUAGAGAAAGCCUCCCUUUCUAGCUGUGUGGCUUGGGGCACCUGGGCUAGCCUUUAGGAUCUGUUUCUUCAACUGCCAGGACAAAGAUAACUACGGCUCCCUCACAGAGCUGUUGUCAAGAUUAAGUGGGAACAUGUAAAUGAAAAUGCCCACAUGAUGACUGACAUGGCAUCAAUCAGUGUUCGCUUCCUUAUCUCCUUUUUCUUGACUAUGAGCACUAGUCAUUCCUGUAGUGUAUUCACUCAUAAAAUAACAAAAGCUACCACAACUAUGCCACAUGCUUAAGAUACAAAGAUAAAUAACUGCUCGGUCCUUGUGUAUUGCCUGGCAUUCAAUACCUAUUGAAUAGAGCUAAACAGCCCAAAGCCUGCCGGAAGACAUAGGCAAGUAACAAAAAGUUAUUUAAUAAUUAUUAUAAACAAAUACUUUCAAUGCAAGGCAGAAAGGAUGCUUGGAAUCACAGGGGAAGAGUAUGGACAGGUGCUAUAGAAGGGUCAUUGAACUCCUUUUAAGAUACCUGGGGGAGAAUUUCUAAGGAUGGUUUUGACAGAUGAGUAGAAGUGUUCAAGUGGAGUAAGAAAAAAGAGGAUGGUGGUAGAGAAAGGCAAAGGAGACAGAAUGAGUGAAGACAUGGGAGGCAGAAGAGGUACGGUGACAAAGAGAUGAAGGAGGGAAAGGAAACCGUGAAGGGCUUCCUAUGCCAUCCCAGGAAGUCUGCUCAUCUCAGACUUUAAUGUGCUAAAGAAUCUUCUGGGACGUUGUUAAAUGCAGGACUGAUCUGUGGUAUGAUAGGGCCUGAGACUGUACAUUUCUGCCAAGUUCUCAUGGUGGUAGAACUGGUCCAUGGGCCAUAUGAUGGGUAGCAAGGCUUGGACAGAAGAGUCAAAAGAGUCCCAAAGAGGAGAGUGACAUGAUCAGAUUUAUUUACUAGGAAGCUCACUGAGCUACAGUGUGGAUGAUGGACUAGAAUUACGGGUACUUUAUACAUUCUUAUUUCAUGGUGAGCCCCACAACAUCCCCAAGACAUAACACCAGAGGACUACAGACUCUUAAGAGUUGGAAAGGGUCAUAGAGAUAAUGUGGUUGAACUUUCUUUGAAGAAUAUGAAAGAGAGCUCUUAAAAGGUGAUAAGAUCUCCCCAGGCUGAGAGAGCUAACUGGUGGCAAAGCUUGGGGUCCAGGACCUAGAUCAUUUCACCAAAAUCUACUUACCCCUGCUCUUUCUGGCAGCUGCUCUACUCCAGGACAUCAACUUACAUGCAGAAAGCUGAAUUGUUAUUGAGCAUUCAUUGAAAUUAAGAAAAAAAGGGUUCAGGGAAAUAGUCCUUGUUCAGCCACUCAGAAUUAUGGUGGAUAUGUAUACUGUACAUGCCAGGUUAGGAGAAGUCCCAGAAGGGCAGGUCAUCUGGCAGUAUUUCCAGGUAUUAGAUUCCAUGUGCCCCUUCCUUCAGUCUUGGGUCUUGGAAACAUGCCAGAAGUGCAGAUUCCCUUGUGGGUAAGUAGGUUAAUGCUUACAUGUUCUUGGUGGGUGUUCCAAAACUGCUUUGUAGCUAUAGGAAUGUUUGAUGGAGCAGGUGGUGGGAGAAAGGGGAACUAACAUGGCUCCCAUGCCUAAUCCGUGCUAUACACUGACCUACACUAUUUAUUUCUUAAGUAUCAUAUACAUAAUGCAUUCUUUUUUUCUUAUUUCACACCUCAGGAAAGUAAGGUUACUAGAAGAAAAAAGGAGAAUUGAUGAGAAAAUAGUAAAGUGGAAGCAGCAGAACCACAGGUUUUUGGGAAAUGAAAAAGAUCUAGAAAAACAGAGUCAUUUUAGUUAUCUCUAACCAUGGGGUCUGGCCUUCCGGGAAAACAGCAGAAUAGGGAGGAAGAGCACACUCACAUCUCAGUGUGUCCCUGAUGAACAAACAACACUGUUUUAAGAAGCCACUUCCAGGAUAAGAGGGGUCUUAUUAAAAGGUUAAAGUAGCAUGGACCAGAUGCAGUGUUAGGGGAUUACAGGCAGGAUCUCACUCUGUAACAGGAAGUAAAUCCUGACAAUUCAUGCAAUCACAUGUCUUCUGUUUGGUCUGUGAACCAGUGACUGAUGCAUUGAGAAACAGCUGAUGUCAGUCUUUCUUAAAACUUGUGGAAAGGGGAAGUAACAGGAAAAAAAAUUAUUAUUAACCAGCUGAGUAAUCUGAAUGCCAAAUCAGCAAGAAUCUUAUUUAGACCUAGUAAGGAUAUGAUUUUUCAUGGAUCUAAGAAGCCAGGAAGUCUUGGACUCAUUGGAGAGUCUCUAAGGGACAAUUGUGAAAUGGCCAACUUUGAAGGAGAAUACAAAAAGACAUUAGAAAUUUCAUCUCCUUUAAAGGGGUAAGAUGAAGGUUUAUAAAUUCACCCACAGAAAACUGAAAAGAAAGCCCCUUUUAAAAGGUGUAUUACAUACAUCUUCCUUUUGCCCCGUCUUAUGCCAUAAAGGCAGUUCAAAAUUUUUGACCUAAGUGUAUAUUGACCCUGUGCUGAGCACUAUUGUAUGAAUUAUCUCAUUUAAUGCUCAUUAUUAUGUAGGUAUAAUUAAUACUAUAAUAUUACACAGAAAGAAAGGAAAAGCUUAAAUAAGCCAGUAUUCUAACUGUUUUGGUAGCCUGACUCUUCUGACAGGUUAAAAACACAGAUCCAGAUGAACUCUGUUUUGUCAGGGGCGAUGUUCAACGAGAAGUUAUACACGGUGCAUGGCUCCACAGGACCUUUUUGUUACCUGAUUUCUGAGCAGAAGGACUGCCACCGUAUUCCUCUGGAGGUCAAAAUACUUUCUUGGAUGAUAGAAGCCAUCUAAGACCGCAAAGGAUAAGGGUAAACAGCAGCAGGCCCAGGAAAGAGCUUGAACCUGACUCAGGAGAAUAAACUUCAGAAGUAUAGAGACCAGAUCUUCUAUUUUCCUUCCCCAGGAGUCUUGGCUCAGGCUGGAUGAACACAGAAAGAGAAAGAGUCCUUUGAAAGAGUCUCACUGUCACCCAGGCCAGAGUACAGUGGUGUGAUCACAGCUCACCACCGCCUCGACCUCCCAGGCUCAAGCGAUCAUCCUACCUCAGCCUCCCAGGACUGCAGAUGCAUGCCACCACAUCCAGCUAAUUUUUGUACCUUUCGUACAGAAAUUUUCACCAUUUUGCCCAGGCUGGUCUCGAACUUCUGGACUGAAGGAAUCCACCCUUCUUGGCCUCCCAAAGUGCUAGGACUCCAGGCAGGAGCCACUGUGUCCAGCCAGUAAUAACGUCUUUAUUUUGGAAGCAAACAGGGAGUAGGCAGAGAUGAGCAAACUGAAACACAGAAAAGCCAAGCAACUGUCUUUAUCCAGUGAAGAAGUGUGUGCGAGAAUUCGGACCAGGCAAUGUGACUCCGGGUUCUAUGCUCUUUACCUCCAUGCCAGUCUGCCCGUUCUCCUGUGCCCUUUUCAUUUGAGAAGUUGCUGUUUGCCUCCCAGCUUACGGUUCAGGUUGCCACGGUGGGAGCCAUUUUUUUCACAGCACUUAGUCCAACUCUCUUGUUACAGCUUACUGGGUGACAGGUAGAUCCCUGAUCAGUGGCAAUCUAUGGCUAUUCUGCAGUCUGUCACUCAGGUAGGCUCUCACUCCGUGGCAUUUAAAUGAAGCAACUUGGAAAGAAUUUGCUAGUUCUCAAGGAACAGGAAGAAGUGGAUGGGUGGCCUGUAGAUGAGUCAUGUUUAAAGUAACUUAUCUAUAAUAAAGGUAUUAGAGCUUCUGCUACUUGAGAUUCUAGAGCACCUUCAAUUCAGAUCCACUCUCCCACUCAUUUCUCUGGGAUUCCCAAGCCUAUUAUGGCUCAGUCUUUUGAAUUUCCCUGGGAGUCCUUUUAUUGUACCACGAGAAACCCUACAACAAUCUUGCUUUACUUGAGUUAGCUCAAGUGGGUUUCUGUUUCUUAUCCUAAUAGCCAAACUACAAGAACACACAUUGCCAUAUUUAGAAGUACUUGUGCAUCUCCCUGAGCUGCCCCUUCUCCAAGGAAAGCACCCCCAGUUCUUUCUGUCAAUCCUCAUGCCAUGUGUUCACUCCCUUUCUUGUUCCUCCCGCUCUGGACCGUGCAGUUAUAGCCUUUGAAAAUGGACUAAUACGGAGGCUGGAAUUGGAAGCCACUUAUUUUAUGUGUAAAGAAUGAGCCUGCCAGCCUCAAAAUUUCUUUCUUAGCACCUGGCGAGACUCUUCCCUGCAGCCCUAAAAUUGGUUCUGUUUACAAGAGGGCACACUGUAACUGGAGCUAUGACUAACAGCAGAGAACAAGCCCCCUGCCUUCCGCCCUCCACCCGGCACGCAAAUGGGUAAGAGUAGGCCCCUUGAAGAAAAGCAUCGGAAAUUGGGGCGGGGAGUUUUUCCCAAGCCUGUCCUAGCUUGAAGGCAUUUUAAAGGAGAAACCCUGAUGGACUGUGUCUCCCCAGCUCUGGGGAAGGAACUGCAAACUGGCAGGCAGCCAGCUUGCAGUAGAGAGGAACUCCUCCAGCCCAUUCCCCCUGGUGGUGGUUGUGUUCAGGUCAGUACUAACUUUAGCCCUGCAGUCCUCAAAUGGGGACAGUCCACUAGUGGAUUAAAUCCUCCUUAAAUGACUUAGAAACUUUUAGCCAGAGAUCAGGGGAAAGGAAAUGAUUUCAUUUAUUCUCUGCUGGUUCACCAUGACUUCUGAGGAAGCCAUUCUCCAGUGUUUUGCAGAAUAAUAACACUUUCUAUUCAUAUAUCAUUGAUCUCCCAGGAGCUCAAAGUUUUCCACAAGAUCUUAUCAGCUAAUUUCACCUGGGGUGCUUGGGAAGAAGGGAGGAAGCGAGGAUAACAUUUACUUUCUCUUCUCUUUAACUUUUAAGUUCCGGGGUACAUGUGCAGGUUUGUUACAUAGACAAACUUGUGUCCCGGGGGUGUGUUGUAGAUUAUUUCAUCAUCCAAGUAUUAAGCCUAGUACCCAUUAGUUAUUUUUCCUGAUCCUGUCCCUCCGCCCUCCACCCUCUGACAGGCCCCAGUGUGUGUUGUUCCCCUCUAUGUGACCAUGUGUUCUCAUUAUUUAGCUCCCACUUAUAAGUGAGAACAUGCACCCAAAGGAAUAUAUUCUAUUAUAAAGACACAUGUACACGUAUGUACAUUGUAGUACUAUUCACAAUAGCAAAGACACAGAAUCAACCUAAAUAUCAAUCAACAACAGACUAAAUAAAGAAAAUGUGGUACAUAUAUACUAUGGAAUUCUACGCAGCCAUAAAAAAACAGUGAGAUCAUGUUCUUUGCAGAGACUCAAUGGAGCUGGAGGCCAUUAUUCUUAGCAAACUAACAUAGGAACAGAAAACCAAAUACCGCAUGUUCUCACUUAUAAGUGGUUGCUUUAUUUUCUUCCUUGCAGUCACUCUUUCAGCUGAGACCGCUGUCCCUCAGAAAGACAGGUGAGGGUAAGCAAUGCUGAGACAUUUCUCAUUAUGUAAGUUGGCUUAUGGUAUUAUCCCUGUACUGGCUUCAUGCUGGGUGUCCAACUACCCACCAGUAGGUCACUAUCCUCUUUCUGUAGUUUACUUGCCUCAUUUCAAUGUGGAGUAAAUACCCUCAUGUUGGGUUGGAGAAACUGGGGCUCAGAGAAUCUGUGCAGGAUGACUGAGUUCUCAUGCCAGGUUAUGGGUGAGUCUGGAGCCAAUGUUAUCACAUGUUCAGCUACUGACAUGUCCCUCUACGUUCUUCCUGCCUGCAGUGCGCAGGGAGUGGUUCCAAAGCUGAGGUUGGCCAUAACUCUCUGAAUCUGAAAAGAUGUGUCCUGAAGUGUGUUUGAGGAUAAAAGAGGGAUGCACACUUGAUCCGGAAGGCCUGACCCCAAGUUGGCUGGCCGGCAUUCUGAAGUGGCUUUUUUCAGACCCACAUCCUGUGCAGCGCUCUGCCGAUCAGUCUGCCUCUCUGGGACUUGAAUAUUUCAAAAAGGAUCUAAAGGGCCUUUCAAAUGGUACCGGGACAUAAAUAGCUUUCACAGAAGAAUGAAUGUUGCCUCAGUGAUGUGAUGACUGAAUCAGCACCACAUUGAAUUAGCAGCAAUCUGGUGCUCUGGGUAAUGGAGUGAUGGUAAAUGAACAUUAUUACAUUUUUACCCAAUGAAUGAGUCCUUAAUAAAAAAGACAAAUGGCUUCCAGGUGUCUUGCCACAAAAUUUCAACAACUGAGUCACUCAAGCUGGAUGGAAGAACAAGAGGCAGUAUAGAAUCUGCUCGUGAUUCAGUGGCCGCCAACUUGGAUCGUCCCCAGUUCCAACUUUAGCAUCUUUCUUUAGUCAUUCUACCGCACAGUCAGUUCCCCUUGUGUAGAUGCACAACAGGAGGAAAUUCUAAUGAAAGGACAAAGCUGCCACUGUCCCAUCUGACCAAGCUUCCCCAGAGAGAACAGGCUCCCCAUACCAGGAAAUACUGUUCCUGAGAGGAAACACCUGUGGCUGGUCUGUGGCCGGGUCUGGAAUUUCUGGCCAUUCCAGAGCAGGACCGAUUGAUGUCCCGACUUCUGUGGUUGCUAGGAUGUAAGGUAAUUCCUCAGGAAUGUUCUGUCGCUGGCUCAGCACAGCCUCUGCUGUCAUGGCAGGAGGUGGGAUGGCUUGGAAGUCUUGCCUCUGUCAUAACUAACACUGACAUGAGGUGGCUUGGGAUCUCUCUGGGUCUUAGUUUUCUCAAUUGUGAGGUUCAUGGCCAAGAAAGGAGUUGGGAAAGGAUCAGGUGACAAACACAAAUGCCUCUGGGGGCCAAAUAGGUGAGAGGAAUGAAUGGAUUGUCUGGGUGUAAGACAAUAGGAAUGGUGGCGCCUGUGAGGAAGUGGAGAAUAAAUGCCUUGCCUAAAGAUGUUCAAGUUCAAAUAAAACAACAAUCACCAGAACCCAUAUCGUAGGCCAAAUAAAACACCAAGUUGAUCUGAUGACUGGAGUUUCCAACCUGUUCUGGAAGGUUGCUUCUAGUUUUCAUGAUCCAGCCUUUAUCUGGAAGUAUGUAUUCUUACAUAUCAGAAUUCCUAAUUCUAUUAUGUAUAUGAUAUAUCAUUUCAAAUGUGAGAAAGUAUAUGUAUCUAAUGCUGGGAAUAAAAUUCAGGGGAAAUGCAGAUCAAUAUAGGCUUUUAUAGACUAAAUCAUAGGAAAAAUCAUUGGUCUGAAGUUGUUGGUUAGAAAAAAAUAUUAAAUGUAUGUGGUAGGAUGUGACUCAGAGGUCAUUUAAGUUCCUCUGAGCCACACAUCUGGGAAGACAGGGAAAAUGAGCCCCUUCUAAAUCACACACUCCUCCUGUUCAGAGCCUAAUAAUUUUUCAUCUGAUUUGUAUGUAGGCCUGUGUGCAGGGACUGUGCAUAUCUUAUUAAACACUGUAUGUGACCCUGGUACCUGACACCUAAUAGGGGCUCAAUACCUAUAUGAUAAAUAAAUGAAUGAGUUUGUGAAAAUUGUAGUAGGCCUAGGUUUUAGUCUUUUCUCUUUUAAACGACCUAAUAUGUGUUGAUUGCAUAAUUUAUUUUAAAAGCAUAUAUGUAAUCAUGCCAAUUCUUUGCUCAAAGCCUUCUAAACAUGCCACAUUGCCUACACAACAAAUCUUGAAUUUCUUGGCAUGAUUUUUAUUUCCAUGUUCUGAUUUAUUCUUUCUGUUUAGUUCUAUCUUCAAGUGAUGUUGCUUCCCCUGCCCCCAUAUCAUAGCCUAGCUUAACUACUUGUUCCCUAAACAAAUUCUUUCAUUUUUAUGACAUUCCCUCUGUAGUGCCCAGCUCUCCUUUUUCCCCAGCAAAGUGUUAUCCAUCCUUCAAGAUGCAAAUGUCCCCUCUCCAAGAAACCUUGCUUUAUUUAAAAGCCAAAUCAGAAAUAAUUUCUUUCUUCUGUGCCUUCGGCAUAUCUCAGAUACGGUGAGUAUUACAUUCUGCCUUAAGUCGUAGCUAUUUAUUUACAUACCCACAUCCUUUAUACCCAUGUAUAGAAUCUAGACGUCUAGAUUCUAUAGAGUCUAGGUAGUGUCUAGUCCAGUGUCUAGAAUCUAGAUAGUAAACUUCUUAAAAGCAUGGACUAUAAGUUGUUCUUCUUUGCCUACUUCAUAAACACGAAGGUAUUCAAUGAAUUUAUGUUGAAUGAUCAAACUGAAAAGUCUACCAUUAUUAGUUGUUUUUGAUUGAUGGAGAAAUUUUGGGGGCUAUCAGUUUACAGUUAGAGGAGCCCUUAACAAGCAAGUUUAGUGAGAAAAGAUAAUCCAAGGAAAAGUGUCACCUUUUGGGACAGAAUUGUAUAAAAAUAUAUAGAAAAACACAAAAGCAAUUCAGCCUAAGACAUAGAGUACAGUUUGCCAAAGGGUUUAAGUAGCUUUCUGUUGAUUAUAAAGUCAGGGAUCUGAACUGUUGUUGAUGUAAAGAUGGAUAGUAUUACAAAGACAAGCUCCGAAAAGGAGUGUUGGUCUGCACAGAGCCUGGAAAUAAACAACUGAGACAUGGGAACUCUCACCAUGUCUUUCCUGUUGUUCAGAAAAGAGGGUAGGCCAUUUUCACUGACUGGUUCCAGUUUUUUAGAGUGAAAAGAGGAAAUUUAUUAGGCUUCCAUAGCUAUUAAACAUAUCUCACACUGUGUGUUCUAAUUCUGCAUUCACUAAAUAAUUUUCUGAUCUAUAAUUUGUUUAUUAGUUUUACUAAUGAGCACCUAUAUGCUGGCUCUGUUGAGAACUUUUAUGUAUAGUAUCUUACUUAACUUUCAUAACAACCUUCUGAGGUAGGUAUUAAGAGCCCCAUUUUUAGAUGAAGAAUCAGACUAAGAGAGGUUAAGUACAAUGAGAACACAUGGACACAGGGAGGGAAACAACAGACACUGGGGCCUGUUGGUGGGAGUCAGGGAAUGGAGAGCAUCAGGACAAAUAACUAAUCAUGUGGGGCUUACU